GAUGAACGCUGGCGGUAUGCUUAACACAUGCAAGUCGAACGGACUCUUCGGAGUUAGUGGCGGACGGGUGAGUAACGCGUGAGAAUCUGGCUUUGGGUUCGGGACAGCCACUGGAAACGGUGGCUAAUACCGGAUGUGCCGAGAGGUAAAAGAGAAAUUGCCUGAAGAUGAGCUCGCGUCUGAUUAGCUAGUUGGUGAGGUAAAGGCUCACCAAGGCAGCGAUCAGUAGCUGGUCUGAGAGGAUGACCAGCCACACUGGGACUGAGACACGGCCCAGACUCCUACGGGAGGCAGCAGUGGGGAAUUUUCCGCAAUGGGCGAAAGCCUGACGGAGCAAUACCGCGUGAGGGAAGAAGGCUCUUGGGGUGUAAACCUCUUUUCUUAGGGAAGAACAAAAUGACGGUACCUAAGGAAUCAGCAUCGGCUAACUCCGUG
Molecule: ribosomal RNA, 435 nt
Filed under: uncultured bacterium
Lineage: Bacteria
Description: partial 16S ribosomal RNA
Rfam family: Bacterial small subunit ribosomal RNA
Source: RNAcentral